CUUCAGCGACCCCAACCACAGCGGCCGGUCCUCGGGCCGGUCCUGCCCAUAGGUCGCGAUCAACGCCUCGGCCUC
The sequence is an antisense RNA, 75 nucleotides long. It matches the Rfam family "ASpks TB sRNA".